This 484-nucleotide ribosomal RNA is filed under the name uncultured bacterium. RNAcentral's name for it is "partial 16S ribosomal RNA". It matches the Rfam family "Bacterial small subunit ribosomal RNA", at positions 30 to 507 of the family's 1533-position model. The record is from RNAcentral.
AUUGAACGCUGGCGGCAGGCUUAACACAUGCAAGUCGAGCGGAUGAAGGGAGCUUGCUCCUGGUUUUAGCGGCGGACGGGUGAGUAAUGCCUAGGAAUCUGCCUGCUUGUGCGUUAUAACGUCCGGAAACGGGUGCUGAUACUGCAUACGUCCUGCGGCUGAUGGUUGGGGAUCUUCGGACCUCAUGCUAUCAGAUGAGUCUAGGUCGGAUUAGCUAGCUGGUGGGUUAGAGACCUACCUAGCCGAGGAUCCGUAGCUGGUCUGAGAGGAUGAUCAGUCACCCUGGAACGGAGACACGGACCAGACUACUACGAGAGGCAGCAGUGGGGAAUAUUGGGCAAUGGGCGAGAGCAUGAUACAGCCAUGCCGCGUGUGUGAAGAAGGUCUUCGGAUUGGAAAGAACUUUAAGUUGGGGGGAAGGGCAGUAAGUUAAUACCUUGCUGUUUUGACGUUACCAACAGAAUAAGCACCGGCUAACUUCGUG